UACGGGGGGGGCAAGCGUUGUUCGGAAUUACUGGGCGUAAAGGGCUCGUAGGCGGCCAACUAAGUCAGACGUGAAAUCCCUCGGCUUAACCGGGGAACUGCGUCCGAUACUGGAUGGCUUGAGUUUGGGAGAGGGAUGCGGAAUUCCAGGUGUAGCGGUGAAAUGCGUAGAUAUCUGGAGGAACACCGGUGGCGAAGGCGGCUACCUGGACAGAAACUGACGCUGAGGUGCGAAAGCGUGGGGAGCAAACAGG
RNAcentral lists this ribosomal RNA (253 nucleotides) under uncultured bacterium. RNAcentral's name for it is "partial 16S ribosomal RNA". It matches the Rfam family "Bacterial small subunit ribosomal RNA", at positions 524 to 776 of the family's 1533-position model. The record is from RNAcentral.